This 477-nucleotide ribosomal RNA is filed under the name uncultured bacterium. Its description in RNAcentral is "partial 16S ribosomal RNA". It matches the Rfam family "Bacterial small subunit ribosomal RNA", at positions 30 to 507 of the family's 1533-position model. The record is from RNAcentral.
AUUGAACGCUGGCGGCAUGCCUUACACAUGCAAGUCGAACGGUAACAGGUUAAGCUGACGAGUGGCGAACGGGUGAGUAAUGUAUCGGAACGUGCCCAGUCGUGGGGGAUAACUGCUCGAAAGAGCAGCUAAUACCGCAUACGACCUGAGGGUGAAAGCGGGGGAUCGCAAGACCUCGCGCGAUUGGAGCGGCCGAUAUCAGAUUAGGUAGUUGGUGAGGUAAAGGCUCACCAAGCCGACGAUCUGUAGCUGGUCUGAGAGGACGACCAGCCACACUGGGACUGAGACACGGCCCAGACUCCUACGGGAGGCAGCAGUGGGGAAUUUUGGACGAUGGGCGCAAGCCUGAUCCAGCCAUGCCGCGUGCGGGAAGAAGGCCUUCGGGUUGUAAACCGCUUUUGUCAGGGAAGAAAAGGUUCUGGCUAAUACCUGGGACUCAUGACGGUACCUGAAGAAUAAGCACCGGCUAACUACGUG